RNAcentral lists this ribosomal RNA (440 nucleotides) under uncultured bacterium. RNAcentral's name for it is "partial 16S ribosomal RNA". It matches the Rfam family "Bacterial small subunit ribosomal RNA", at positions 338 to 795 of the family's 1533-position model. The record is from RNAcentral.
CCUACGGGUGGCAGCAGUGAGGAAUAUUGGGCAAUGGGGGCAACCCUGACCCAGCCACGCCGCGUGAGUGAAGAAGGUCUUCGGAUUGUAAAGCUCUUUCGGCCGUGACGAAGAUGACGGUAGCGUAUAAAGAAGCACCGGCUAACUACGUGCCAGCAGCCGCGGUAAUACGAAGGGUGCGAGCGUUGUUCGGAAUUACUGGGCGUAACGGGAGUGUAGGCGGAUAUGUAAGAUAGCGGUGAAAUGCCGGGGCUCAACCCCGGGACUGCCAUUGUGACUGUGUAUCUAGAGUAAUGGAGAGGAAAGCGGAAUACCCAGUGUAGCGGUGAAAUGCGUAGAUAUUGGGAAGAACACCAGUGGCGAAGGCGGCUAUCUGGCCAUUUACUGACGCUGAGGCUCGAAAGCGUGGGGAUCAAACAGGAUUAGAUACCCGGGUAGUC